UGGGGAAUAUUGCACAAUGGGCGCAAGCCUGAUGCAGCCAUGCCGCGUGUGUGAAGAAGGCCUUCGGGUUGUAAAGCACUUUCAGCGAGGAGGAAGGUGGUGAACUUAAUACGUUCAUCAAUUGACGUUACUCGCAGAAGAAGCACCGGCUAACUCCGUGCCAGCAGCCGCGGUAAUACGGAGGGUGCAAGCGUUAAUCGGAAUUACUGGGCGUAAAGCGCACGCAGGCGGUUUGUUAAGUCAGAUGUGAAAUCCCCGGGCUCAACCUGGGAACUGCAUUUGAAACUGGCAAGCUAGAGUCUCGUAGAGGGGGGUAGAAUUCCAGGUGUAGCGGUGAAAUGCGUAGAGAUCUGGAGGAAUACCGGUGGCGAAAGGCGGCCCCCUGGACGAAGACUGACGCUCAGGUGCGAAAAGGCGUGGGGGAGCAAAACAGGAUUAGAUACCCUGGUAGUCCACGCUGUAAAACGAUGUCGAUUUUGGAGGUUGUG
RNAcentral lists this ribosomal RNA (488 nucleotides) under uncultured bacterium. Its description in RNAcentral is "partial 16S ribosomal RNA". It matches the Rfam family "Bacterial small subunit ribosomal RNA", at positions 355 to 829 of the family's 1533-position model. The record is from RNAcentral.